GCUGGUAGCGGUGAUGACUCUUUCCCCGUCAGAGCGACAGUGUUGACUAUAGCUGUCCAAGCCAGGUCGUGUCUGACGCACCAGC
This is a small nucleolar RNA of Cinclus cinclus, 85 nucleotides long. RefSeq annotates it as small nucleolar SNORD12/SNORD106. The transcript has a single exon. NCBI's taxonomy places the organism in Eukaryota, Metazoa, Chordata, Aves, Passeriformes, Cinclidae. The record is from RefSeq and is a predicted model, not a curated record.